AUGUACAACACCAUGAUCGCCAUACACGGCAAGGCGCUGGAGGACGACCAGGCCGGGAGCCUGGUGCAGCAAAUACAGGCCAGCGACAUCCAGCCCAACCCCGUCACCUACUCCACCGUCCUGUUCAUCUGGUUGAAGGCCAGGAAGAGCUCGCCGUGCCGCGAAGCUCUUCGAGAAGCUGCGGGAGUCCGGCACGGAGAUGGACCCGGUGACCGGUGUUGUGCCAGACGAUGGUGGUCGCGUACGAGCGCGCCGGGCUUGUCUCACACUCCAAGCGACCGCUGUGCGAGCUCAGAGACCCGGACCAGGUCAUCGUCAAGGAGACGGCCAUGA
RNAcentral lists this ribosomal RNA (333 nucleotides) under Triticum aestivum (bread wheat). Its description in RNAcentral is "partial small subunit ribosomal RNA". Lineage: Eukaryota; Viridiplantae; Streptophyta; Magnoliopsida; Poales; Poaceae. The record is from RNAcentral.